AUUGAACGCUGGCGGCAGGCCUAACACAUGCAAGUCGAGCGUGAAAGUCCUUCGGGAUGAGUAAAGCGGCGGACGGGUGAGUAACGCGUAGGAAUCUACCUAAUAGUGGGGGAUAACGUUUCGAAAGGAACGCUAAUACCGCAUACGUUCUGAGGAAGAAAGCAGGGGAUCGCAAGACCUUGCGCUAUUAGAUGAGCCUGCGUCCGAUUAGCUAGUUGGUGGGGUAAAGGCCUACCAAGGCGACGAUCGGUAACUGGUCUGAGAGGAUGAUCAGUCACACUGGAACUGAGACACGGUCCAGACUCCUACGGAGGCAGCAGUGGGGAAUAUUGGACAAUGGGCGAAAGCCUGAUCCAGCAAUGCCGCGUGCAGGAAGAAGGCCUUCUGGGUUGUAAACUGCUUUUAUCUGGGGAUAAAAAGGCCUUGCGAGGCAAACUGAAGGUACCAGAUGAAUAAGCCACGGCUAACUACGUGCCAGCAGCCGCGGUAA
This 490-nucleotide ribosomal RNA is filed under the name uncultured bacterium. Its description in RNAcentral is "bacterial SSU rRNA". It matches the Rfam family "Bacterial small subunit ribosomal RNA", at positions 30 to 523 of the family's 1533-position model. The record is from RNAcentral.